CAGCAGCCGCGGUAAGACAGAGGAUGCAAGCGUUAUCCGGAAUGAUUGGGCGUAAAGCGUCUGUAGGUGGCUUUUCAAGUCCGCCGUCAAAUCCCAGGGCUCAACCCUGGACAGGCGGUGGAAACUACCAAGCUGGAGUACGGUAGGGGCAGAGGGAAUUUCCGGUGGAGCGGUGAAAUGCGUAGAGAUGUGGAGGAACACCGGUGGCGAAGGCGACUCUUUGGUCUGUAACUGACGCUGAGGAGCGAAAGCGUGGGGAGCGAACAGGAUUAGAGACCCCAGUAGUCCCUGUCUCUUAUAA
Molecule: ribosomal RNA, 301 nt
Filed under: uncultured bacterium
Lineage: Bacteria
Description: partial 16S ribosomal RNA
Rfam family: Bacterial small subunit ribosomal RNA
Source: RNAcentral